This is a long non-coding RNA of Mus musculus (house mouse), 22962 nucleotides long. RefSeq annotates it as predicted gene, 52667. The record is from RefSeq and is a predicted model, not a curated record. The transcript has 3 exons. NCBI's taxonomy places the organism in Eukaryota, Metazoa, Chordata, Mammalia, Rodentia, Muridae.
UUGGUGCCUUUUGCCAUCACCACCUGCAGCCUCUGUAACUGGGACCAGACUUUCAGCCGGCCAGCCAGAAGGGGAGGAGUUUGCUCAAAGCUGUUGGAAUCAGCAGAUAUGCAAAAUGACUGUAAGAUAAAACAGCACGGGGCGCAUUUCUCCACGAAGUGGAAGAAGGGAUCUGAUUUCCACUCCAGCUUUGCACAGGAAUUAGAGAAUCCUACCAGCAGAAGCACUUCAAAAUGCCAGCCUCUUCAGAGCUAUACCACAGUACCUGGUCUCUGCAAGCGGGGUGUGUGCAGUGUUGGUACUGUGGUAGCUCUUAGCAGAAGGAGGCUGUGCAAUACUUCCUCAGAAGGCCUGGUAUGAUGUUCACAUUCAUCUUGCUGCAGUGGCUGACCUCAAGCCAAUUACCCAAGGUCUGUGAAACAUGUAAAGUGAUGUCAAAUGAACUACCCUGCACUUGGUGGGAAUGUAGAACAGUCUUUACCUUCCUGAGUGAGGAUACAGUGACAUGCUUCAUAGCUAAAAUCACGUAGAGAAACAGUUUGGCUCCAGGGAAAGGAACACAGGUAAGAGGUGCCACAAAUGUCCCUUUGUGCUGGGUUACUUCAGGAAAAUGCCUUCUUGGUAUUCUCUUUAUUGGCUUUCCACCAAAUCCUACCGACAUACCAGAGCAAUGGCCUAUCAGAUACAGAGAAUUAAGCAGUAAACUGUUCAUUAAUUAAUUAAUUCAUUCAUUCAUUCAUUCACUCAUUUAUCAGAAGUACACUGAACACCUACUAUGUGCCAGGCCUGCUGCUGGGUGCCAUGCUGACUUUAACACUGAGUAAGCCCCACUUACUCAGGAACCAGACUGUUCUUGGUGUUGAAUGAUAAGAAUCCCCCUUGCUAAUCUCCUAAUGCUAAGCGUAUGAACUUAGAUGUCUUACCAGCAUCUUUUCCACCGUGCUGAAGAAGUAUACAUUUGUUAGAUCUUUGCAUUCAGCUUAUGACCCUAAUUUUAUGCACAAGCAUCUAGCUUUGUAGAUGUCCUUAGUCUGGGUGCCUUGAAAGAUGCUAAGUACCUCAAAAUGAGCUUGCUUAUUUCAUUUUGAUGUUCCUCUCCACAGUAUAAUAACUAUUUGUUAAUAUGGAAUAUAGCUUCACCUACAUGAAGAUAAAGCUUGUCAUUUAAAUAGGUUGGUGCUAUUGUCCUAUUUAUUUGGUGCUCUUCUUUAUGAUUUUGUCCCUUAGAGUUAACAGCAUCUUUUUUUUUUUUUCCUAUCAAGCUGUGGUGCUCAAAGCUGUGCAUUUAAUUUUGAAGAAUAGUUAAUGAAACGUACUCAUGUUGGUAUGCAACAUCUCAGAAAAGCAUGUGUUUUGAACCUUAAGUAGAAUACUCCUAGAACAAAGUGCAGCCACAAGAGAACGUUUACAUGCUCUGCAAGGCAACUCUUCCAAAGGCACAGUUUAUAAGCCCUAGGUGGGCUUUCUGUAGGCUGGACCUGGUUCAUGUGUCUUUAUAAAUAUGGAAUAUUGCAAUUGCUUAUGACAGGGACUUCACCCUGGGUGGAUUCGCUGGAGAGCUUCACAGCCCUCAAGGGAAAUAACAGUAGAAAGUAGGUCAUUUUGAUGCCGCCGUCUUUAGCAACUCCUCGAGAUGCCAAGUUACAAAUCUCCAAUUGCAACUAGCUUUUGUGUAUAGAACUUGACAGUUUACCAGCCACUUUCUCUUGCAUGCCUCAUUUUUUCCUUGAAAAAUAAACCCCAUGGGACAGAAUAACAAUGAUGAUGUGUAGUUUCCGUGAUGCACAUGAGAGGACUGAGGCUUGUCCCACAGUUCACUCCAAGCAUUGAGACGGGAGCGGGGUGGUGUGGGGGAAGGAGGGGUAGAGGGAGGAGAUGGAGAACGUGAACUUCAGUUCUUUACCUCAAAGGUCUGUGAUUUUAUUUUUAAUAAGCCACAAGCCCUGUUAUAAACACAGGGUCACCAUCAAAGUUCCUUGGAGGCACACAGAGAAAGAAAAGCUAGGUCCCUGCUAUGCCAGUUGGUAGCUCUGCCCUCCUUGGUUCUUUUCCCACCCCCUUUACAGCCACUAUCCUAACUGACAAAUCUGCUCUUGGGGUGAGUCUGACUGGGGCAUUUGAUUGCUAAUGAACAUUUGUAUUUGUCCAAUCAACAAACACACAAACAAACAUGUACUUCUGAAGUUAAAGGACAAUAAACUAGCUGGAACAUUGAUCUUGGGUUUCAGCCUCCUAAAUUGGGAGAAAUAAAAGGAACUUAAUCAUUGGUAAUGGUUUAUAACUUGGUCCUUGGAGCUAUGGUCUAGACUCCUCUCUUACAAUUAACCUUAGAGAAAUUUCUUGAGCUCUGUAUGCCCAUUUGGUUUCCUCUCCUACACAAUAAGAACAAUAGCAUCUGUUUACCUGAUGAAUCUUAAUUACGUGCAGUAGAACUGAGAGCUAGGACAUUUCGGACUUAAAUAUGUUAUAUAUGUAAAGCCCUCCUGAAUAGGAUUGGUGACUUCACUAAAGGGCUGAAGGAACCUAGGUCUUCUGUUCCUGCUUCCCCGGGGAGGACACUUUUGUCGACCCUUGAAGAGGACUUCGUUGCUAUAAGAUGUUAUAUUAAAGCAGAGAAUAGCUCUUCCUAGACAGUAAACUAGCUGGGACAUUGAUCUUGGGCUUCAGUUUCCUAAAUUGGGAGAGAUAAAAGUCUAAUACCCAGUUCAAAUAUUUGGUUCUAGCAAUUGGUACAAACUAACAUGUCUUCACUUUUUAAUUGCAGCUGCUUUGCAAGGGAUGGUGGUGGCUAGCACUGUGGAGCAGUAUUGGUGGUGGAGAGAGAUAAGUGGAUUUGAGACAUCUAAGAGGGCAACCCUCCUGAUCUCCAGUGUGGCGGUGUUUGGUUGAUAUUUAAAAUGCAGCAUCUCUGCAGAUUUUCAGGUCCAGAAACAUGACUUUUAUCAAAAUGUUCUGGGUUCCUUCAACUUAAAACUAGUUCUAAGCAUAAGAAUCUAAUGACAAGUCAGAGGCUAAUGCAUUAAUAUAUGUAGAAAAAAAUCAUUUUAUGAAAGGCUUUUAAUACCUUCCUAGUCAUCUCGUCUCCAAAUCAUAUUCAUAAGAUCACUUGGUAAGCAUAAAACUGACAGAGCAGAUAGGCAAGUGCUUUGAAAGACUUCUUUCUUCAAGCUUGAUGUCUCCAGCCUUAUUGCUAAAAGAUGCUGUAGUUGUCUAGGCCCCAGCUUUUGCACCCACCUGCAGUGGCUUUCCCACCCUUGUCCACCUGGCCAGUGCAUAGUUAUCUUUUUGAGAUUUGGCCUGAAGCCAUCUCUUCAUGAUUUUCUAAGCAUUCUAGGUUGAAUUGAAGUCCCUUCCUUUAAACUCUCACAAUUCAUGCUGGCCACUGUUCUCAACUGGCUAUAUUUUACUCAAUGUUUCUUCUCAUAUCAUCCUUCUAGAUGCUAACUCUUUAAGAGAGGAGGACAUUGGUGGACUUGUUGACAUGACCCAAAUAAGAAAAUAUUAGGCUACCCAUUACUAAAGGGAGAGGGACCUUUGCUAAUGAGUAGUAUUGAAGACACAGCAUUAAUAAUUCUUCCUUGUUUCCCUCCCCUCUUUUUUUUUUUUUUAAAUAAAACUAAUCUACAAAUAAGCUGUGUUCUUCCUCAGUGAUUUAUUCAAUGGUACAAAAAGUGAUGCGCUCUGGGUUUCUUUCACGUUCUUGCCUAGGUUUCUAGAAGUGGCUAGGUUAAAACUGAGGGGCACUCUGUCUGUCCAUAGAACUUCUACUAAAUCACUUGGAGAUUUUUUAACUCUCUCAAACAGUUAUGUUCAGUAAAUUAUUUGUAAAUUUCCAUGCGCCAAAUGUUACUAGAAUCCCAAGUGGCAUUUUUAAUUGUCUUAAAAAAAAAAAAAAAAAAGAUGUGAGCAAAAUUCAGAAGGAGGAGCAGAGUUAGAGCUCAGGGACCAAGACAGCAAGGUGGGGGAUAUAUUUGAAGAUGGUGAAGAAUGGGUGGGAUUUGGAAAGCCAGAACAAUGAACCAAGGAAGGGAGCACAGGAAGAAGGGUCUGGCGUCAGAAUUGAGCCACACCACCAUGUCCCAUUUGGAGCAGCAGAGAGGCCAGCGUUCCUUCACUACAACAAUUGGCUUUGUCCGAAGUUGGACAAAGCUGCGGGGGUGAUAUAGUGGCAGAUGGAGCUCGCCCAGGAGAAUGUUUUAUGCUAGACCAAGGAAUGUGCGUUUACUUGGCAGGCAAUGUGGAGCCAUUGAAAAGUGUGCAACAAAAAGAAUGGUGUGUGAACGUGUUUUAUAAAUCUCUUAAUCCACUUUAUAGCUGCCUAGUGCUUUGCUGUUAUGGAUUACUGUCCAUGCGUCAUCUUUUUAAUCCUCAUCACACCUUAGCAGAGCGCUUGAGUUGUCCCUGUAUCAUAAAGAAAGAGACUAAAGCUUGGACGGUUUCAGUGUUUCACCAUACAUCCCAUAAACAGUAAGCAUCGAACCCAGAGGCUUAAUUCUAGGCUGUCUGGCUCCAAAGUGUUCUGGGUUUCUAUAUGUAAUGCCCCGAUAAGAGGAGGAGUUGUUGCCUUGACUCUAGCAGCUUGUAAGAGUUAUGCAACACAACAAAGGAUAUAUAUGAGGUAGACCGUUAUCGGAGAUUACUGUUUUAAGCAAAAGACAGGUGCUUAAGAAAUACCGUAGCCUGAUAUUAGGGUGUUCAAUAUGGAGUGUGAAGGUUAUUUAUAUCUUAAUUUUAGCUUUAUUUUUGUUUUUAAAAAGAUUUAUUUUAUUCUUAAGUGUGUGUGUGUGUGUGUGUGUGUGUGUGUGUGUACUUACACACUUGUGUGCACUUUAGAGUGCAGAAGAGGGUAUGUGACACCGUGGAGCUGGGGUUACAAGUGUUUGUGAGCCUCCCGUUAUGGGUGCUGGGAACCAAACUGCACACCUAACCGUACAUGCUCUUACCCCUGAGCCAUCUCUCCAGGCCCCAGACUUUAUUUUUAGAAGAAAAGAAAUAUCAAGGGACAAUAGAUAGAAGAAGCCGGAUGUGCCUUGUUGAGUUCAAAGGUGGUUAAUGGAGAGGAAACUAGUAGUUUUCUGAUCUCACAGAACAUUAUUGACUAAAAUCUUUCAUCUGGCUCUAGGCAAGAGUCUGUACACAGAGCUAUCUUGGGUGACUUUAGGCAGGUCACCUGAGAAUGGCUUUGCAUUUGUCCAUCCAUGUACUGCAAAGGAGAGAAAUGUUCUCAUACUGUUUAGAAUCUGGGAUUCCUGUGCCAUCCAGUAUACGCUAGCAGCCAUGGGUAGCUACUGGGUUACUGAAAUGCGGCCAGUCUGAUGUAAGACAUGCUGGAGAUAUAACAUUUCAUUUUUGUACAAAAAAAUUAAAGACUGUAGCUGGUUAUAUUUCAUCACAGGGUGAAACAAUAGUAUUUUAGAUAUGACAAGUUAAAUGUUAAAAUUAAUUGUUUCUGAAAGCUUGAGAGAUGGUUCAGUGCUCAAGAACACUUGACAUUCUUGCAGAAUACCUAGGCUACGUUGCUAGCACCCACAUGGUGUCUCACAAACUGUAACUUCAACUCCAGGGGAUCUAAAACCCCACUUUGACCUCCUAGAGUGCCAGGGAUACAAAUGAUACACGAACAGACAUCCAGGAAAACACUCAUAUACAUAAAGUUAAAAUACUAUUGGGUUAUACUGUUCUAGAGCCUAAGACUGUAGCUAAAACCAGAAUACUCCAAGGCCUACAUUCAUCCCACCAUAAAUGCUUCAAAGUAGUGCUAAUAACAGUAAGGAUUGUAGCUAACAACAGUCAGUCAGUUCCUAGGCACUUUAUAUCCACUAGCCAAUUUACUAUUUAUCAUAAUUUGAUGGGCUAGAUAUUACCAUAGACCUAUGUAACCGAUAAUUUUAUUUUAUAGACAAGAAACAGGGAAAUUCAGUAACUUUCUCAAGGUCACAGUCAGAGCAGAGCUGCACUUUCACCUUCCUAGGACUGCCCCCGAGGAAUCAUGGAGGGUCUCAUGGCUCCGUGCUGGGCAAAUCCCAAGGAGAUCUUGUUUUUCCUAUCGCAAGUCAAGCAACGCUUGAGAAAUUGUACAUAUCAACUCAUCUAAUAUCUGUGACAACCCUAGUAAAUAGUAAUUAUCCAUCUUUCAUACUGAACAAACAAACUGUAGCUCAGAAAGGCGACAGAGUUUGUUCAGUAAGCACAGGCUGGAAUCCACUUUCUAGUCUAGCCUGAAUCCAGGGCUGGUGCUCAGCACUGUACCAGUUUAUGAAUUGCAUGACAGCCCCUUUGGGGUCAUUCUGAGGCUAAAUUCCAGUGAGUGACUCUUCUCUCAGACUGGCUUCUGUGUUUUCAAAAUUACUGUAAGACUCUCAUCUGAGCUGACCAUUCUAGACCAUUUUUCUGGCAGUUCUCUUGGUGGGGGGGCUAAUGAAAUUUAAUUCUAUUUUUUUAACAACAGAAAAGAAACUGGGCAUGGUAGCACACACCUUCAGUCCCAGCACCAAAGAGGCAGAGGCAGGUAGAUCUAUGUGAGUUAGUUCCAGUCUGAUAUACACAACAAGACCCAGACCAGUUAACAAUUCAUAGGGAGACCCUGUCUCAGAUAAGCCAAGCCAACCAAUCAACCAAAACCCCCACUCUUUGUGUCAAGUAGUUUCAGUAAGAGCUGGCUAUUCAUCUCCACCACAUCCCUGCCCUCAGAUCCCAUCAUCCACCCCAGCACGGGGUGUGUAAUGUUUCCAUUAGGCAGAGGUAAUCAUAGAUUUUAGAGAUAAAACAGUCGGUCCUCUUGAAGACUUCCUCAGCUAACAUCUAAGCACCUAGGAUUUGUGUCUAUGUGGGGGGUGGAGGUGGGGCUGAGGUGGUAGAUGCAAAGAAGGAACACCCAGCAGGAAAUUUGGACUCUCGAGGUGUUUAGGGGGGUGGAGGGGUGGGGGUGGGGGUGGGGAAUGGUAUUCUAGAUGAGCGUGUAGAACUCCCAGAUGCGAAUGUGGACAGGACAAGCCAAGCACAAACGGGAGUUUUGUAUGACUGAGUAUUGGGGAAAGGUUACCAGCAUGCCUUUCACAGCCUCUGUGCAUAGACAAACAGUUACUUUGUGACAAAUUCAGAACUUGCAAGGAGAUGUAAAAUUAGGGCCUAGGUCUCAUGGCAACCCAACUUGUCACAAUAGCAAACAAGAAUAGUUUGAGAGUCAGAGGAAGCCAAUGCUGGCUAUGUCACAGCUAGCUGGCUCUCCUUGGGCUACCUUCUCCUUAUUUAGCAGUGCUUCCUUCCGUUCCUGCCCUGAGUUCUCCCGGACCGUAAGCAACGUCACUUCACUGAACACAGCUCCAGACUUUAAGAAAAACAAAAUUUUGUAUCUCAGCAGUGGUUUUCCUGGCCUUUCUCCCUCCAAAGAAAUUUCGUUCUGGUUUUCCCAGUUGACUCUUCGAGUCUGUAGCUGUCAGCUGUGCCUGCUCCUUCUCUGUUUCCUCCGUUCUAAUGCAGGGUCUGCUGCAGAAUAAUGCCAGGUCUGUUCCAAUGUGAUUAAAGAUUUCAGUGUUUGCUUUAAACCAAUAUUUACCAGUAAAACCUAGCCAAUGUAAAUGUGCAGGCUAGGUAGAAAAUACGGGCUUAAAUCAAUCUCCCCGGAACACAGACAGACAGAUGGACAAGGACUUAGUGGGUAUUUUGGAUUUUGGCAGGCCACUUCUGCCAUUUUGGCCUUUUUUUAUUUUUUAUUUUUUUAUUUUUUAUUUUUUGGUCAGUUUCACACAUUUUGCAACUGAACACUGUUUUAAAACAGCCCUUAAAACAGAAAAAUCUAAAUAAUGCAAUGCUAAAUUGUUUAAAUGCAGUUUUUUCUCAUUGGCCAGUGUUAGUCAUUUUUUUUUUUCACGGUGUUUCUUCUGGCACUUGUCAAACACUGCCACAUUAUCUGAUUUAAAAGGCUCCCUUGAAUGAGGAACAAAUUGAGUUAUUUGACAUAGCAGUAAACUUAGAAUGCUAAUCAUUUUUUAAAUAGCUCAUACUCCAGUGUUACACACCCCACAGAAACAGUGGACAUUUUGAGGUUGAGUCAGCUUUUCUGAGUUACAGCUUCAUUCUUGCAAACUUUUACUGAAUUCAGUUUCUUCAUUGGCUGGAUUUCUUGACUGAAUGAGUUGUGGCUGCACUCUGAACGAUCUGUAAGUAGUUGUAGUGUCUAUUAGGAACUGCUUAGCUUAGCCAGUCAGCCAAACAUCAGCCCUAGAUGAUACUUUGUAGCCCAGAAGAUCACAGAAGGAUGAGAUGGAGGCAGCCCAGCCCAGCCCAGCCCUCUUCUUACACUGUGACUCUCAUGACUCCCAUACUGCACCUUUCCUUGGGGAGGGAAUAUGGAUUUGAGCUGGAGAUGAUUCAAUGACUCAUCAUCUGUAAGAAAGGCCACUGAAAUUGCUAGGGCCUUGAGGAGUGUCUAGUAGGUAGUAGGCACUUAAUGAACGCUUUCCUCAUGUACAGAUAGAUGCAAGGAGAUGCAUUAACAUAAUGCAAUUUGUAGAGCUGAGUAUAGGAUUUUUCUAGAUUUAUGGGCAAAAUCAAUGUCUAUGUCUACUGGUAAUGAAUCCAUUUGUGGCUUCCUCUAAUUCUAAAUGUUAAAAGCCUAUGCGCCAAAGACUGAGGUACUAUAAAAAGGGUGACAUUUAUAUAUAACCAUCAGCUGAGGUGGUAAUGUUUAUCCUCAAUGGAAAAAACCUGUAAAACAAUGUGCUAAGGUAGAUUUAUUGUCAUUAUUUUGUGAAUGACAGGUAGGUGGACAAGAAAUGGUGAAUGGGACAGGAAAGGACGGCCUGAGUAUAAGGACCUCACAGUGGAUUACAAUGGGGAGAGCAAAUGCUUUAGUGGGCAAAGGACUCUGUCCUGGCUGCCCUCGAGGAUUAUGUGGCCUGGGAGGGGCACAGAAAGGAGCACAGAACAUAAAUAGUCAGGGCAUAAUAACAAGCCAGGUAGAGGUACCCACAGGCAGAAGGGCAGGGCUCACAUGAAAUGAAAAAGCAGGGAGCAGACAGAUUGCACACAGGACUUAGUGUUGAAGAAAAACAGGGCAGGGGCAGAUUCUGAAAUGAGCCGAGCUGACUGGAUUUGGUGCCGGGACUUCAUGCUCCUGGAUAAAGGGAGGUGUAGGGAGGUGUGGGGAGGAGGAAAGCCGGGGCAAUUGGAACAGUGAGCAUAUUUAAGGGGCUCUCACUGGGAAGUAGCAGGUUUUAGCAGUUCUAUGAGACCCUCCUGCAGAGGCCCAGGGUGAGAAGCAGGCGGGUAGUAGAGGUGCUGAUUCUAGGGAAAAAGAAAACAGUUAUGAUCAAAGCCAUGUUUGGAAGGGGUAAAAAAAGAUCUUUAUAAGAGAUGGGGAACACAAGAGAUGAAAGGGAGGUGAGUGACCAGUGGAAAGAUGCCCAGACAACGUGACAUGGCCUGAUUCCCAUGUAACCACAGGGUUGAGGGUGAGUCUUCAGGGAAUGGACCGAACUCAGGCAUGGAUUGCCACAGAGGAGUCCUGCACGUCCGGACACAUUCACUGCCUUCUGAUUGGCUCCUGGAGAAACGUCAGCAACAAGUAUUUACAGAUGAUCUCAGCAUCUCUUGCUCUCUCUGCAUUUCGUCAGUCUCCUGUGGUCGCACACUGAGAACAAAACUAGGAGUGAUAACAUGUGUGGUGAUUUCCAACUCUUCAGGGCACACACUUAAUAUGGGAGGUUCCUCUCUUCUCUGAAUCCAUAAGCAACCACACCAGUCCUCCCUGGUGCAAAAGACUAGUAAAACCAAAUGACCCUUAGAAGACAGCCAUAUUUUAUCCAACUCUUUGCUUCCCAGAUGGUAAUACCCAGACCCAGAGAAGAGACCUAACAUCCACCAAAAGUACAACCAUUCUGUCUACAGAACAGAAGAAACCAGUUUCUCUAUAGAGGCUUGCAUAUACCAAAAGUAAACAUAGCAGUUACUACCUCUGAGGUAUUUGUAGUCCCUAGAGACUCUUUCAGAGGGACUGAUUGCUUUCCUUAAGUGAAAUGGUUGAGGGAAGUUUUCUGGAGGAGGAUGCACAUUGGUAGUAUGUGUGGCCAGGACUAAAGAUGGACACUCAGUGGUGCUUAGAGUUGCUGUGAGGGUUGAAUAGUCUUGGGGCAACUGAAGAUGGUGUAGAAUAGCUGGAGAGGGAGGCAGAAUUCUGCUGGGAUUUACAAAGGUGGGGAUCAGGAAGUUGUGAACUAAAGCAAACAUGAAGAAGUCAUUUCUAUGGUGUGAUGUUGUUGUAAACAGUUAAAGUCAGAACCAGAGGUGUAUAGGGUGCCACAAAAGAGAGGUUUGGGGAACCUUCGUUUUUAGGCUUUUGGGGUAGCUGUUGACCUCUUGCAAAUUGUCAGCUGCGGUGUUAGUGUGGAAGCCCCACAAGUAACGCACAAGUGUGUGGCUGUGUCCUGUAAAACCGGCUGUAAAAGCAGGUGGCUGACUGCUUCAGGUGGUUUGAGUGCCUGAGGUUUCUGUCCUGCCUGGGGGAAGCAAGGCUGUGGCCUCCCAAAGAUUUGGGCAUACUGAGCUUGAGCUUGCAGUUUCUCUCCCCUAAAGCCUGUUAGAUGCAAAGCCAUGGGCAAAGGAGGAAAGACAACAGAGUCUCUGCUGUGCCUGGACCAACCUUAGUUUAAGCAAGGAGAUCACUGGGAGAUGACCUAGGUGGACCAAUGCAGUCACAGCUCUCUCUAGAGUGAGGAAGGAGAUGGGAGAAUUACAAGAGUUGGGAUCUCAGUGAUAUGAUUUGAGAAAGGUUUGAUUUGCUGACUCUGGGAUAGGAAAUAACUAGGAGCUAGAGUGUGUGCAUUCUCUAGAAGAUGCGAACACGAGAACCUGAGUGUUCUCUCAGACUCUCUAGGAAAGAGCACGGCUUGGCUGAAACCUUGGUGUGCGAUGCUUCAAUUCACCCUCACUGUGUCAUGCUACUUCAGUGACAGAAAAGGAACAACACCUUCUGGACCUUCUGAGCAACCCAAACCCCCACAGUGAAGGGUACAUUUCUACACCCCUUCAACCAUUAUUUCAAGCAGAGCAGGCUAGAGACUGGAGACAGGGAAAGCAGGGUGUUCCGAGUGUGAGACCUUCCUCAAAUGAAAGUCUCCAUAGGUACCACAGUCUAAGAAGCUCUGCAGUGCAGAGCUCCACAUACAAAGCUCCUAGGGGCUCUGGGUACAACAGUGAAGUGCAAAGUUGGAACACAUGCUCCCCCCGCAAAUCUCAGAGUGUGCAGCCAGCUGCCAGUAACUGGUCCUCACUCCCUAACCCACUAGCCUUAGGCCUUUCGCUGCACCCUGUCAUGCCAUGGCCCUAUUUUUUUUCAUGGUCAGUGUUAUUUGUUGCUUUUGAGUAUGUUGGAGAGAAAUGAUGACUGAAUACUGUUGAUGUUUGACAAGGACAUCAGCAGGCGAAUGGGAACAGGUGCCACCCAUACCUGAUCUUAGGGAAUGGCUUCUGAGGCAGUGGCUGCUGCUGCAGCUGCCACUCAUUGUGGAGGCCACUGGGGUUAAUGGCCUUUUCUGGAUCUUCUCUCAAGUCAUUGGUGAUGGCUUCAGGCAGACACUGUGGUGUAUCCUUGACACACGGAAAGCAUAAUAAAAUCAAAGACUGCCUCUGAGCACCAAACAAAGGACCUUAUCCUCCUUGGAUGGACAGUCAAGAGUGACAAAGUACCUAUUAGGUAAAACAAGUCAUGAUGUGAUAAUUUGACAAAUUUCUCAAAUGUAUAUGCUGUGUUAUCUCAAAUCACCCAGACAGCAGUGCUCUGAAGUGAGUCCUUGUGAGCCUGAUUUUAAAAAAAAAUGUAUUCUACAGACUGAGAAAUCCACAGAGGUUACAAUUGUAUAGCUAGUCCAAGGGACAACUGGGUCAUGAGCCCAGGUCUUCAGUUUCUCUGGAUGAAACUGAACCAUAGCUCAUUGCCACACCCCUCUUGUUUUCCUCCAUCACUUCUGAAAACUCAGAUAUCUUCUCCAUACUAAAUUAACACCAUCCAAAGUUCUAGUAACUGAAACAAGAUAAAAUUUCAGUGGAAGAGACAGAUCUGCCAAUCUAUAAAAUGUGACAAAACAUUGAAAUUUAGAGAUUGAUUAAAUGCCUCCUCUGACAAGGAUAUUAUUAAGACCUUCAUGUCUAACAUCUGAUGAAGUAGGUACUGUGUUCUCCAUUUUGCAACCAGGGGAACCUUUAGAAUACGAAGUGACCAGUAUGAAUUAUCAAUGAUCUCAUUUUCUCUCCAUCCAAGAUCCUCCAUGCUUAGCAUGGUACCUUGCUAUAGGCACCACCAGCACAAGGAGGGAGCCAGAAAGAGAUGAUUGACUGAAGGUUGCCACCACACAGAGAAAUAUCCUGGUCAUAUGAAGAUGUUCUUGGAGGUUGGUCUUUGGUUUAAACAUUGAAUUUUAAAAAUGAGGUGGCUUAGAAAUUCCACUUGCAAGUAUUUUUUCUUGAACAAAUUGGCUGCAAAACACUGGCCAGGGAUGCCAUGAGGAUGAACAUUUGAGAUCUGUUCCUAAAGAGGCAGUGUUGCUCUAUUUGCCCUGGGUGGAUAAGGCUGAAUCCUCUCCUGGGGAAAGAGGUCUUGCCUGAGAGUUGGGACAGCUGCUCCCUCGCUCUAUCACUAGUUCAUACUAGUGAGGUCUGUUUCUAAGCUGUAUUCAUAGAAGGCAAUUCAUAGAACUCUCUGACACUCCAUUAUUCCUUCAUUUGUCCAAGAAGUGUGGGAAAGCUCAGGGCUCACCUCUGGAGAGUGGUGGAGAGAUGAGGUCACCUUGUCUCUUCAGAAACUCUGCCACCUGAAGUCCUUUCAACCCUCAAGCCCUGUAUAUGCCUAAUUGUCACAUGCCACAUGCUGUCAUGUUCCAGAUCUGCCCUCUCUCACUAGUCUGGAAAUGGAUCUCUAAGUAAUGAAAUCACCUAAUGCUGGAAGGAGCUUGGCCAGUUCUCCGGGAAAUUGUCAGAGGCUUGCAUCUGCAGCACUAAAUGGCUGCUUGAAGCUGGGGUGCUGUUCGUAGCAUUAUGACUUACAGGAACCAACACUAUUUAUUAGGAUAAUUCUAUGUAUGGGGUGGUGUGCCAUGAGGGAGGCUUUCCCCCUCUGCUCACAAUUACCUACUCCUCUUGGCAAACGGAAGGAGUGUAAUUAUCUCCCUUCUCCAAAGAACCUGUGGCUACAGGAGGCUAAAUAACUCCUGGAGUCCCACAGCCACAGCGUGGGCGAGCCUGUUUUCCUACUCAGGUUUGGUGGACCCAAAAGGCACAGUCCCUUCUCCCUUGCUAGGCUCCAUGGGGCCUGUGGUGCUUUACCCACACGUUGACCUGAGGUGAACAUCUGACAAAGAUGCACAGCCGGGGGAACUCACAUUUAUUCUCACUGUACAAUUUGCAAAGUGCUUGCUCACAUCACGUCAUCCGAUUCUCCUAGCAGCCUGGAUAGUGAAGCUGAGUGUGAACUCAGUCUCACAGAAGAUGAAAUAGCAUCUGGGGAGGCUAUAACUUAGAGGCUUUGAAACCCCCCUCACUCUACUAAUCACACACUUGUCUAGAUUUCCAACCACCCAGGGACAUCAUUUUCCUGAACAUUUUGUCUUGUGUCUUUAAGGAUAUUCAGUUAUUUAUAUUUCUAUUGCAAGAUGGCUAGCUGAGGGCCUUCCCGGACAGAUAUACAGAACAGCAGCUGUUGUUUCCUUAAAACUUUCCCCCGGGACUCUGUGCACACAAUUUCCAAACAACUAAGAAUAGUAUGGUGAAUCCUAAGGUCCUGUAUCUUCGUGAUAAUAGUUUUCUUUUUUUAAAAUGACAGAGCACCUUGAACCCUUUCCUGAGUUUGAAGCUGGUACAUGAACGGUGCUAGAUUUUGUGCCAUCUUUUCUGACUGUAAAGCCAUAGCAGUUAUAGUAUCAUAGUGUACAUCGUGUGGAGCUUGUGCACAGUAUUUGAUGGGGUUAAUGAAGAAGCUGUAAUUAAGUAUUUUCAUUAAAUAUUAGCUGUUUGGUAUUGUAUUAGGUAAGGACAUUCUCAUGGAAGUAUAUCUCCCCCUUACCCUCCACUAGGCCGUUCCUCUGCUCAGGAACGUUCCUUCUUCUCAUCUUCAUCCUUCCUAGAUAGGCUGGCUUAUACUUUAAUAUUGAAAAUAUGUACAUGAUUUUAGUCUACAAGAAAUCUUGGAACUACAUAUGAGAGAAAACGUGUAAUAUUUGACUUCCUAAGACUAGCUUAGCUUACUUAAUAUUAUCUCCGGUUACAUCUGUGUCCCUGAAAACAUUGUAAUUUUGUUCUCUAAAAAACUGAGAAAAUCCCAUUGUAUAUUUGAGGACAUCUUCUUUAUUCACUUCUGUGUGGAUGGACACCUAGGUUGUUUCCAUAACUUAGCUGUUGUGAAGAGUGCCACAGUAAACACUGAGAUGCAAGUGUCUCUGGGAUGUGCCUGCCAUGAGCAGUUCUGCUGUAUCAUAAGUCAGAUCUAGCUUUCAUUUUUGUGAGGAGCCUCCAGACUUAUGUCCAUAGAGCCUGGGAAGUUUAUGUUCACAUCAGCAGUCCAUAAAUCCUCACCAGCAUUUAUUAUUAUUUUUUUCCUUAUGACUGCCAUUCUGGCAGGGGAAUGUGCCUGGAGCCCUACAGAGGCCAGAGGAGGGUGUCGGACAACCUGGAACUGGAGUUGUAGACAAUUGAGGGACACCAUGUGGUUGCUGGGAAUCCAACCUGUGUCCUCUGGAAGAGCAACUAGGCAUCUUAACCGCUGAGCCUCUUUCCAGUUCCAUCAAUUCAGUUUUAAUGUUCAUUUCUCUGAUGACAAGUGAGGUCACAGUUUGUUUGUUUAUGUCUUUAUUAAUCAUCUACGUUUUAUGGGUUCAUUAUCCCAUUUAUUGACUGGGUUGUUUAAUGUCAUGUUUCACAUUUUUUUGCCUUUUGUAUAUUCUAGACACUAAUCCUGUGUCAGAGGUAUAGCUGGCAAAGAUUUCUCUCCCAUAUCGGGCUAUCUCUUCCCUUCACCAUUUUCUUGCUGUGCAAAAGUUUUUAAACGUCAUGAGGUCCUGUUUGUCAGCUUCUUGAAAUGAAUUUCCUGAGCAACUGGGAUUUUAUGCGGGAAGUCCUUGCUCUGCUAGGUUGUGAAGUGUUUUCCCUAUUUCCUUCUAACAGUUGGAGAUUUGGGUUUUGAAACAAGAUCUUUGAUCCACUUGGAGCUGACUUUUGUGCAAGGUGAGAGAUAAUGGCAGUUCCAUUUUUUAUAUUUUAAUUUUUAUUGCAAAUUUACACACAGUAUUUUUAGAAUUGCAAGGAGUAACAGGACAAAGGGAAAUCCUUUUUUCAUUAAUUAUUAAAUCUUAAAAUAUAAUUUAUUAUCUCUAAUAUUAACCAAACUUGCAAUCUAUAGUUAUUUUAGAAUAUAAACAAUAAGAUAUCUGUAUAGCUAUGUAAAUUGUUCAGGAUUAUACUUCAUUGACAGAGGCCAAAACUAACCUUUCUGCAUGGCAAUGCCAAGAACCUACCAAAGAGGAAGAGAAAAGAAAUGUCAUUAAGGAGCUGAGCGUUAGUGCCUGUGAGGCAAAGUAAAAAAGGGACAAUGACAGCAGCAUGUCCAAUAGAAACGAUGUGCAUCCAAAAUUUAUUUAAUAGCAGUAAAUUAUUGUGAAUAACGGCUUCAGAGACAAAAUAUCUAAAUCCAACUCCUGGACCUCAAAACUAUUAGCAAUGGCUUUAUACAAUACAUUUCAUUCCCAAGUCUGUUUCCUCAUUUGUAAAACUCAGUAUUAUCAAGUCAUGCCACAAUGUGCUUAGUCCUGCUGAGACUUGAUGUGUUAGCGUGGGUUGGUACCCAGGGGGGCUUCUUCUUCUCUGAAGAGAAGAGAAGGAGGUAAGGAACAGACAGGUUUGUUAGGGUGGGAUUGGGAGUGGGACUGUGAUCUGGAUAUAUGGUGAAUGAAUAGAUGGAUGGAUAGAUAGAUAGAUAGAUAGAUAGAUAGAUAGAUAGAUAGACAGACUACGGUACUUACUGGCAAUUUCAUCUUUUACAGGAUAUCCAGUUCAGGAGCUCUAUCUGAAAAGACUGUCUUUUCUCCAAAGUAUAUUCUCGACAUCUAUUUCAGAAAUUAUGUACUUGUAUGGAUCAUUCUAUUCCAUUGAUCUACAUGUUUCUGUGCCAGUGCUGUUUUAUUAUAAUUAUGUAGUAUAACUUGAAAUCAGGUAUAGUGACACUUCCAGAAGCAUGCUUGGCCCACGAUUGCUUUGGGUAAUUCUGUGUGUGUGUGUGUAUAUAUAUAUAUGUAUAUAUAUAUAUAUAUAUAUAUAUAUAUAUAUAUAUAUAUAUAUAUAUCUGACAUAAAAUUUAAAAUGGUUUCUGCGAAGAAUGGUAUUGGUGUUUGAUGGAUACUUUACUAAACUUUGACAUUGUGUAAUGUAAGUUGACCAUCUCUACACUGUUUAAUAUAAAUUAGCCAUCUCUACAUUGCUUGAUAUAAGAUGGCAUCUCUCCAUUGUUUUAUGUAAGGUGGUCAUCUCUAUAGUAUUCAUUUUCUACUCCAUAAGCACUGAAGGUAUUUCCAUUUUGUAGUGUGUUUCUCAGUCUCUUUCUUCAGCAUUUUGAAGUCCCCAUUAUAACAGUCUUUCAUUUCCUAGGCUAAUUUAUUUGAAGGUUUUAUUUUAUUAUUUUUAAGCUGUUAUGAUUGGGCUCAUUACCAUGAUUUCUUUCCCAGCACGUUUGUUAUUAGUCUAUAGAAAGUCUAGUGAUUUUUUUUUUGUUUCUUAAUUUUAUAGCCUGACAUUUUCUUGAAAGUAUUUGUCACUAAGGAUUUUUGUGGAGUCUUUAUGGUCUCCUUGCAUAGCAUCCUAUCAUCCACACAUAAGGACGCUUUGACUUUUCCUUUUGCUCUGCAAUUCUUUUAUUUCUUUCUCUUGUUUGACAGCUCUAAAUAAAACUUCAAGUACUAGUGGAAUAAAGGUAAAGGGAGCAGACAUCCUUGUCUUACUGUUGAUUUAAUGGGAAAACUGUGAGUUUUCUCCACUCCAUAGGAUGUUAGCACAGGUUUGUAGUAUCUAGCUUUUAUUAUGUUGAAAUAUGUGCCUUCUACUCUUAGUCUCUCUGGGGCUUUUAUAAUGGAGAACAGUUGACUUUAUCAAAAGAGUUUUCUGCAUCUAUUGAGAUGACAUAUGAUUUCUGUCCUUUAGUCCAUUUAUUUAUAUUUGCUAAUAUAAUUUAUUACUUUUAUUUUCCUAUGGAAUAAAAGCUAGCUUGAUCAUGGUAAAUGAAUUUUUCUGUGCUUUUGAAUUUAUGAUAUGAGUACUUUAUUGGAAUUUUUAUACCUAUGCUCACUAGGAAGUCUGGUCUAUAAUUUUCUUGUGUUCCUAUAUUACUAUCUAGUUUUGGUAUUAGGGUGAUACCUGGCCCUCAAAACUAUCUGUGCAUGUUUCUCCCUUCCCUAUUUUAUGGAAUAGUUUGACAAGUAUUUCUGUUAGUUCUCCUUUGAAGGUUUGAUAGUAUUCAGCAGAGAAUCGUUCUGGGACUGGGCUUUGGGUUGAGAAAUUAAAAGUGGCUUCAAUCUUAUUGCUUGUUGUAGAUCCAUUUAACUUAUUUGUAUCAUCCUGGUUGAUUUUUCCAGGCAUGUGCCUCUAGAACUUUAUGUUUUGUUCUGAUGUUGGCAUGUGUUUGCUAUGUGUGUUCUUCGGCCUAUUCUGUGUUUAGCAAUUAUGGCUGAACUUGUUUUCUUAAUUCUUUUCUAGGAAUAUUUUUAUUUCCUUCUUGAUUAGUCAUUUAACAGUAUGUUGCUCAACCUCCACAGAGUUGCAUGUGCUGCUCUUAGUUUCUGGUUUUAUUCCAUUGUGCUCAGAAAAAUACUAGAAAUGAUUGCAGAUACAUUUGCUGUGAACAGCAGUUUGAGUUGGCAAUUAUUACCUUUCAGAGUUUGAAAUACAUCAUUGCAAGCCCUCCUGGAUUUUAAACUUUCUGUCAAUAAAUCCGCAGUUAUUCUGAGGGCACUGCCUUUGUAUGCUGCUUGGUAUUGUGUUCUCUUGAAAUUCAUUUGGGAGCUUACUUGAUUUUCUUAAAUAUAAUUAUAAUAAUUGUUUAAAUUCUUUGACAUUUCAUCGAAUAUACUCUUAUUGGAAGAUAUGGCUGUGGUGUUAGUCAUUUUUUGAGGCGCCAUCGUGUCUUAAUUGUUUACGUUCUUUGUGUUUUUGUGCUAUGACUUGUGCACUCGAGGUCACACUAUUUGUUGUCUUUUCUUUGCUCUUAUUCUUUCAGUGAUAGUGUUUGAAUUCUCAGGAAAGAUUAGCUUGUAAUAGCAUUGAUACACCAUUUUUCUCUGCUUCGCUUACGUUUGGUGUGCUAAGUUUAGUGCAUCAUACUGUCUUCAAAAGCACUCUGUGUGGAGCCCAUUUAAGGAAAAGAAAAUCCAGGUAGGGUGAUAUGCAUCUAUCAUCAUAGCACUUUAUACUGAGAUGGGAGUCGGGGACAGGAGAAUCACUCAAAGAUUCAUGGGUCAGCUGGCCUGAAGAAUGCAGAAUGGCAGAAACAAGGAAGAUCCUCACUGAACAGGGAAGGCAGGAACUGACUUCCACAAGUUGUUCCCUGACCCCCACAUGUAGUCCAUAGCAUGCUAAUGCAUGAGUGCACAGACAAUAGAUUUAAAAUUAGCAAUCACUGUCAAAGAGUGCCUUUCUACAAACAUACAAUAAUAAUGAAAUAACAAAUAGUUACUCCUUAAACGCUAAUCUUUUUAGGGUGUAAAGGAAUGCUGGUAGUACACUGUACAUUAAGAUGCUACUUACGAGUUAUGAGUGGGAAAGAAGAAACAGAGUUAGACUUGGGGUUAGUAUUGAUGGGUAGAAAAAAAUCAGGGAGGGAAAAGUAAACAGAAGUGGGAAACACCAGGGACUGGGGAGGAGGGAAUUUCAGGUAGAGUGGAAAGAGAAUGCCAUCACGUAGUCCAGGCCUCAGGGGGCUGAGACAUAGCGAUCCCACAAACCCACAUACACUGGUGUACGCCUUUUGGAAAAGCCCAUUAAAAGGGUUAACAGUUGUAAAAGGGAAGAAUAGAAUUUUAAUAAGAAAGAGAAGAGAGAGCAAGAGAGACACAUAGAGAAGAAGAGAGAGAAGAAGAGAGACCGACAGAGCAGAGCAGGACUGAGCUUGUCCUGCUAACUGACACUAGGUUAAAUAAAGAAGAAACUACAGGGGGGAAAAGGAGAGAGUAGGCAGAGUAGAGAGUCUUCAGGAGGCCUUGCUUGCUUGAUUAAUGUAGCCUAGCUCUUUGGACGUUCCUUCAUGGGCUGCCAGGUGUCAGUGACACUCCUAGGCAAUCAAGUUGCAGCUACUGGUCACACCUUUGGGAAGUCUGUGUUGCAAAAGUUAUUGUUGCCUGUAGAGGUUGUCUACAAAGUCAAAGGGUAGCCAUGAGCACUGUUUUCACUGGUAGACUGUCCUUCAAAAGUCAGGCCAUGGAUGUGAUGAUGAGCCCUCUGAGUAGUUCUACAGGAGUCCAGUGCAAAUGUUGUUUUCACCCCUAGAUAGUGCUUUGUGAGACCAAGUUUCAGAGGUCACUCGUCUCCUCUUCAGGGAUCAUGUUGCAAAUGCCAGCCCUACCUUAAGGCAGUGCUUUGUCUGGCCCACAACUCAGACUCUGAGUCCAUGUUGCCCUGCAGAUUUUGGCUCUGAUAAAUUCCCACCUUCCCAAACACUGUGUGGCUUUGAUUCAGUUCUUUCCCUGAAGUCUUGAGGUAUUUUGCCAGUCCUGUUCCAGCAGAUAGUUUCUCUGAGUUUUCCACUAGUAUAGUUCACCGAAGUCUGUGGCCCCGAGCCUCUGACUCACCAGCAAACUUCUAAAAAUGCUUCUUGUUCCAGUUUUCUGCCAAGAGGACAGGCUUUUUCUAGCACCUCCCCACCCUCUGCUGCAGGUGUGAUUUUUUUCCCUCCGUUUUGUCUGUCUCUUGUACUCUUUAAAGUAUCCGUUACUGAGAGUACAGAGCUGAGUUUCUGAGGCUCUAAGUCUAAGGUGUGGUUGCAGACCUUUUCUCUCACUGGACGGGGGCUCCCCAGACCAUCCUACCCUUCCCCACUGGAUGGGGGCUUUUCACUGGGUUACUUUAUUUUUUCUAUUAGAGAAGGUGACCACUACUUGGAAGUGACUAAAUUAAUCAACACAAUUGCCAUGUGCAGUAACAGGGAUAAGCCAGAGCAUAAAUGUAUGACAGAAGAAGCCAUACUCUAAAACGAGUGGCAAAGCUAUAUUAUUCAAUUUUUGCAAUGUUCUGAAGAGGCAAAAAAAACUGAGCUAUGACAUUAACAGUCAACUAGUGAUUAGCCUGGUAAGGUUGGUAAGCAAGCAAAUAAGCAAACAAAACCAGUCAAGGUUUCUAUCGGGCAGGCCGUGCUCCAGCUGUCAGUUAAGUUACAGAUUAUGUGAUUGUACGUAAAUAAUAGAACUCCUGACUUCUACAGCUGUGACUUCUGGGAGGUUCUCUCUGCACGUUUACUAUAUUUUGACUGUGGUUUGAAUAUGGCCCAAAGAGUUCAUGUCACCAAAGUGAAGUCUUUGGGUGAGGCUUAGAAGGAGGAAAGUAAGUCAACAAGGGCACUGUCCUCAGAAGGCAUUCCUGUAGGUAUCACAGCUAGUUCUAUUGACAGGGUUAUUAUAAGAGAGAAUGUCGACCCACCAUAAUACCAUCUGUUUUGAUUUAAUGGAAAAAAACAAGAGAACCAUUGUUAUAGAUGGCACCAAGUUGCUUGGACUUUCUAUCCCCAAACGUGUAAGCUGAAUAUAAAAGGCUAUUUCCCAUACCUACUGAUCAGUGGUGGGUAUUUUAUUAUAGCAAUGGAAACCAGACUGUCAUAGUGUUGUUUCAAUAGAAAGCUUAUGGGAAAAGACAAACUAUUCUGGCUCCUUGGGCUUUUGCAUUUGUUACUAUUAUCAUGUCAAUUUUUUUCUCCUGUCCCUGCUGUUAUCCAUUGGAGUUUUUAAAUGAAGCAUAUUCUAUCUCUCAUUUUUAAAUUUUCCACUAAAUUUCAAUUUCAUUAUCUAAUUUUUCCUAUUAUUCAUGGCUGUUGAAAAUAAGAUUGUGUUCCAAAGAGGAUGUUCUGUCAUUUACAGUGUGAGUGUCUCCAAGUAAGCAUCAUUCAUUUUGAAUUUGAGUGUCCCUACCUAUAAUACUGGGGCAAUAUUAAAUGAAAUGAUAUGGUGAAAGGUCAGAAGAAUGCCUCAUAUAAACAUCAUCUUGGUCCUAGUAUGACUUCAUUUUCUCAACACCUUCCCUACACAUUCACUCAGUCUGUUUAGCUCAUUAUCUAGUAUGAAUUCCACUAGAUUUUUAACAGUAACUAAAAGGCAUACAAACAAACAAGAAAGCUUUAAUGUUAGGGCUCAAAUCUAUGUAUGUGUUUUGUAUUCAAGUUGAAGAAGGGAGGGCAUUUGUGACAGCUAAUUGGGAUAGUUAACUUGAUUGGAUUAAGAACUGCCUGGUAGAUUAGUGAAGCACAACUCCGGAUGUGUCGGCGAUGUCCCCCAUAGUAUCUGACAUGUGCAUACUUGGUUCCCAGUUGGGAGUGCCAUUUGGAAGGUGUGGUUUUGCAGGAGGAUGUUUGUCACUGGAGAGAGGCCAAUCAAUGGAUGGCAUUACUGGGAGAUGGGUCCAGGUUAAUGGAAGCAGCCAAUGAGUCCUUAGGGUAGUAGCAUACUCUUGCCCCUUCUUGAUUUUCCUGUCUCUAUGAUUGACAUCCACUGUGGUGGAAAUAGCAUCCUUGAGCAUACCUCAUGUCACAAUAUCAAAUGUGUGGGGCCCAGCAGCCUUAGAGUGAACCCCGCAGAAUUAUGUCCUAAGAUAAAAGGUCCUAUGAGGUAUUUUGUCCUAAGUACCCAAAAUUUCUACAAAGAACCCUCAUCAAUUUAAGAAUUUUUGAGAACCCCUGCCAUUUCCCCUCAUUCUUUUUUCUUUCCAUAAUGGAAAAGCAUUAAGGACUGGAGGGCCAAUCAAACUUUCUCACAGAUGAACUCCUUUAACCUCGGCAGGAUUUGACACACAGUUUCGUCAUCUAGCCACUGUUUCUCAACAGUUAUUAUCAAAACAUUUACAGUGUUCACAAACUUCCACCCCCACUUUGGACUUCUUACUUUAUCCAAGGAAAGAUGUCCCGGAGAAGGCAAAGGUCCUUUAAAUCCCUUCUACUUCCCUCUUCAUGCCUAAAUGAAGGCCUUUCUCAACCCUACUUCCCUGGCUCCUCCAGUCUUUGUGUUGUUCUUGCUAAUUGCUUGUGUGUUCUUCCUCAUAUGUCCCAUUUCUCUUUGACCUGGCUCUUUGACCUGCAAGCACACUUGUGCUCUUUCAUCCAGCUCAACCUAAAAGUCUCCCUAUUGCCCUGCUUCUAUCACAUCCUAUCCCUCUCCAUUGAUUGCCACCUUCCAGGCAAGCUAUUUCAGGUUGUUUCUCCUUCCUUUCUAGCCUCUCAUGUAAAUAUUUAUAAACUUUAUGUUCUCAAUAUUCAAUUGUAGCUUGCUCUUUUCCACUUGCUCCAAGUUUGACUUACAUAAGUUGUAUCUCUCUACCCUACUCUCCUUUCUGAUGUUAUUGUCACUUAGAUGUCUCAGACCUGUGAUGCUUACAUGUCAUCAAAAUACCAAAAUGUCUAUAUUUCCAACCAAGCACUUCAGCUUACCAUAAAAAUGGAAUCACAAGACAUGUGGUUGAAGGAAAGUGUUUCCUACAGAAAAAACAAGACACUGAUUUCCCAAGUCAUUAGCUCACUGAUAACAAGCAAGCAUUUAUUUUCUGGAUUUUCAUUCAUGUGAAACAAAGGACUGGGCAUCACCGUGAUAAAUUCUCUGGCUACAAAAUUCUAUUAUGCAGUGUUUAGGAAUAAUCAAUAUCUCAUUUGCUGAUAAUCUAUCCCAUUCUUCUCUUAUCUUCUAUAUUUUUAUUGACAGCUCAUGCUUUAAGUGUGACAUUAUAUUCACUUCUUUGAAUAGU